Molecule: small RNA, 148 nt
Filed under: Bacillus sp. (in: firmicutes)
Lineage: Bacteria; Bacillati; Bacillota; Bacilli; Caryophanales; Bacillaceae
Description: Bacillus sp. c-di-AMP sequence
Rfam family: c-di-AMP riboswitch aptamer (ydaO/yuaA leader)
About the family: This family represents a conserved RNA structure found upstream of the ydaO and yuaA genes in Bacillus subtilis and related genes in other bacteria. The ydaO/yuaA element is thought to act as a genetic "off" switch for the ydaO and yuaA genes in its native state.
Source: RNAcentral
UAAUCUAUAUCGCUUAAUCUGAAAUCAGAGCGGGGGAACCAAUUUUUGCGGCGCAUCAAGCCGCUUGGGGUGAAUCCUUUGUAGGUAGGGCCAACUCUCAUCAGCCCGAAUCCGUCAGCUAACCUCGUAAGCGUUUAUGAGAGGAGAU